GACGAACGCUGGCGGCGUGCUUAACACAUGCAAGUCGAACGGAAAGGCCCUGCUUUUGUGGGGUGCUCGAGUGGCGAACGGGUGAGUAACACGUGAGUAACCUGCCCUUGACUUUGGGAUAACUUCAGGAAACUGGGGCUAAUACCGGAUAGGAGCUCCUGCUGCAUGGUGGGGGUUGGAAAGUUUCGGCGGUUGGGGAUGGACUCGCGGCUUAUCAGCUUGUUGGUGGGGUAGUGGCUUACCAAGGCUUUGACGGGUAGCCGGCCUGAGAGGGUGACCGGCCACAUUAGGACUGAGGUACGGCCCAGACUCCUACGGGAGGCAGCAGUGGGGAAUAUUGCACAAUGGGCGGGAGCCUGAUGCAGCAACGCCGCGUGCGGGAUGACGGCCUUCGGGUUGUAAACCGCUUUCGCCUGAGACGAAGCGUGAGUGACGGUAAUGGGUAAAGAAGCACCGGCUAACUACGUG
RNAcentral lists this ribosomal RNA (468 nucleotides) under uncultured bacterium. RNAcentral describes it as "partial 16S ribosomal RNA". It matches the Rfam family "Bacterial small subunit ribosomal RNA", at positions 28 to 507 of the family's 1533-position model. The record is from RNAcentral.